This 825-nucleotide long non-coding RNA is filed under the name Homo sapiens (human). RNAcentral describes it as "HSALNT0316405". Lineage: Eukaryota; Metazoa; Chordata; Mammalia; Primates; Hominidae. The record is from RNAcentral.
AACAGCCUUAUCUGCCGCCCUAGAGCCUUUUCCCUAUAACAGUGAAAUCAACAAUGACUGUGUCAGGAGAGAUCUUUAACUUAUUAUUUAUUACAAGAUAUUCUAAUGUUUAAAGAGCAAUCCAACAUAAAUGAAGAGCUUACGUUUUUCAAGAGAGCAAAGUCAUUUGUGAAGAAUUCUUUCCAUGCUUCAAACAUAAGAAACAGCAUACACAAUACUGGACAUCACAGGACCCUCUCCGGCUGGAUACCAGGCUGUAGAACCACCAGAUGCUUCAGAUGAGAAAGGUUGGAUCUGUUUCACAGGGAAGGGGCUAAACUGUUUCAAGAGGCGACCACGCGCUGGGCACUCUGACAGUGUCUCGCUCUGUCACCCAGGCUGGAGUGCAGUGGUGUGAUCUCGGUUCACUGCAACCUCAACCUCCUCGGCUCAUGUGGAUCCUCCCACCUCAGCUUCCUAAGUAGCUGAGACUACAGUACUUUGCAACCUACCAAGUAUCAUCACAAGAGCUAUGAAAGUGAAGAGAGACAUACGUUAUCUAAGAAUCUGAGAGAGAUGACUCAGUCAGCAUCCUCUCUCUUGGUGUACAAUGGUAGGGACAGCUACUGUGUCAUCUGGAGCAUGACAAUGAGAACACAGACACUGGAUCGUCCUGAUAUAGCCUGCAGUCCAUCUGGGCCUCUAGACAUUCAUUUGCAUUUGCAUUCAUGCGCAUCCCCUACUACUCCAACUCCUACACCUUUUGGCAGGAUAUAUCCACACAGCUGGAUUGGAAUCACAAGAUGUUUUUAUUUUUUGCCUCAUUAAACUAGUUUCUCUCAAGCA